ACAUGCCACUAACGAAGCAGAGAUGCAUUAGGUGCCCGUAAGGGAAAGUGGACACAGGUGCUGCAUGGCUGUCGUCAGCUCGUGUCGUGAGAUGUUGGGUUAAGUCCGCAACGAGCGCAACCCUUGCCAUUAAUGCCAUCAUUUAGUUGGGCACUUUAAUGGGACUGCCGGUGACAAACCGGAGGAAGGUGGGGAUGACGUCAAGUCCUCAUGGCCCUUAUGGCCAGGGCUUCACACGUAAUACAAUGGUCGGUACAGAGAGUUGCCAAGCCGCGAGGUGGAGCUAAUCUCAGAAAGCCGAUCGUAGUCCGGAUUGUUCUCUGCAACUCGAGAGCAUGAAGUCGGAAUCGCUAGUAAUCGCGGAUCAGCAUGUCGCGGUGAAUACGUUCCCGGGCCUUGUACACACCGCCCGUCACACCAUGGGAGUGGGUUUUACCAGAAGUAGUUAGUCUAACCGUAAGGGGGACGAUUACCACGGUAGUAUUCAUGACUGGGGUGAAGUCGUAACAAGGUAAGCGUAGUGCU
RNAcentral lists this ribosomal RNA (525 nucleotides) under uncultured bacterium. Its description in RNAcentral is "bacterial SSU rRNA". It matches the Rfam family "Bacterial small subunit ribosomal RNA", at positions 984 to 1509 of the family's 1533-position model. The record is from RNAcentral.